Molecule: ribosomal RNA, 253 nt
Filed under: uncultured bacterium
Lineage: Bacteria
Description: partial 16S ribosomal RNA
Rfam family: Bacterial small subunit ribosomal RNA
Source: RNAcentral
UACAGAGGGUGCGAGCGUUAAUCGGAAUUAUUGGGCGUAAAGGGCGCGUAGGCGGAUAUAUAAGUUAGCUGUAAAAGACUGUAGCUUAACUACGGAAUAGCGGAUAAUACUGUAUAUCUGGAGGAUGGUAGAGGGCAGUGGAAUUUCCGGUGUAGCGGUGAAAUGCGUAGAUAUCGGAAGGAACACCAGUGGCGAAGGCGACUGUCUGGGCCAAACCUGACGCUGAGGCGCGAAAGCAUGGGUAGCAAACAGG